UGAUAGGUGGGAUGUUUCAAGGUACAUAAAUAUGUCUUAAGUCAUUGAAUGAUCAUCAUAAGUCCUUGAUCAACUUAAUGAUUUUUUUUUAAUUUAAUCCUUUUUUGUUGUUAGAAUUGCUUAGGAGCAUUAGAUGAGACAUAUAUUAGUGUGUCUGUAAAAUUUGAUGAAAGACCAAAAUAUAGAAAAAGAAAGGGCAACCUUGCAAUGAAUGUUUUAGGAGUUUGUUCACCUAACAUGCAAUUUAUUUACGUGUCACCUAGAUGGGAGGGUUCAGCACA
This 281-nucleotide unclassified non-coding RNA is filed under the name Hevea brasiliensis (rubber tree). The record is from RNAcentral. Lineage: Eukaryota; Viridiplantae; Streptophyta; Magnoliopsida; Malpighiales; Euphorbiaceae.